UCUGAGACACACCAUGCUGCAUUUUCCAGACUCAUCUGACAAUAAAGCUCUCCUUAGGGACAAUUUUGUAGAACUCAUCUUUCAAGGAACGUGGAAAACUUCUCCACUUGGCAAAAGGAUGAAGAGGUCUUCUGUGUGCUGAGAGCUGCUUAGAACAGGGAAAUCCACCUGCUUGCUUCAGGAAGCCUUGAAGGAUUGUCCUGAAUAAGUGCAUUCAUCAAGACAGCAAGCCAAGCCAUCAGGCAGAUGAAUAACAGCAAACUGCCAUCACAAGGCUCCCUCCCCAGAGGCAUUCUAAUUAAGAGUAAGACUGUUCUCUACUUCUCUAGCAAGGAUUUCCUUGACCUACAGCAAAGAUCCUUUUGGAUUCAAAGUCUGCUCUGCAUUUGUAGAGUUAAAAGUCCCAUUAGCUGCUCUGCCUCUGAUUUCACUGACCUGUUUGUUUUGCUGCUAACACCUCCCUGGUACCUUGCUGAAAGGAUGUUCUCCCCACACUCCUUCCCUAUGCCUUGGGAGGCACUGAGGUGGAUGAGGUAUUUAUUUACACCUCUCUUUGGAUCAUUAGGUAAAAGGGGUGACACACUUCUCUCUCUUGGCAACAUGUUUAAAUAUGAGCCUGUUUUACUUCUCAACUUACUUUCUUGUCAACACACAUGUAAAUCUGUAUAAGCAUAGCUCAUUCAAAAGACAUUCCCAUACAGUGCUUUUCAAAUAUGUAUUUUCUAGAUUUCCGCUUAAAUUUAACUUUGGUAAGCUGUCAGCUUUUAAAUAGACUUUGUGUAUAUACUACAAAGAAUUUUGUACUACAGUCUUUUGUUUGAGAAACUGCUUUUUGGUCUGCAAAUGGUCCUCUGUAGAUGGAGGGCUAGGAGAGACUGAAGAGGCGGACCAUCCAGAUAUGUAGGUGACAGAUUUAAUAAGCAAGAGAAUUUGUGAGGCUUGUCUUGGGUGGCGAC
This 956-nucleotide long non-coding RNA is filed under the name Mustela putorius furo (domestic ferret). RNAcentral describes it as "lncRNA (ENSMPUG00000027661.1)". The record is from RNAcentral. Lineage: Eukaryota; Metazoa; Chordata; Mammalia; Carnivora; Mustelidae.